Non-coding RNA from Rattus norvegicus (Norway rat), 4199 nucleotides. The record is from RefSeq and is a predicted model, not a curated record. Lineage: Eukaryota; Metazoa; Chordata; Mammalia; Rodentia; Muridae.
CCCGGAAGUAUUUCCCAAGCUAUUCACGUAGGAAAAAUGGCGGCGGUGCAGGUCGCCGCCUCUCUUCCUUGUGAGCAGCCGCGAGAGGCCCCGCGGGAGCUGUCCCUGGAGCAGAACAAUGGGUUCCGCCGCUUGUCUGCCAGGCUUCGCGCGCUGCAGCCGGAUGACAGCACUGUGUCCCGCAUGGAGAUCCACCUGCUCUUCGACCAGCUCAUCUCCGAGAACUACUGUGAGGGCGGCGGCGUGGCCCCGGAGGAUGUCAGUGCUCUUCUUGUGCGAGCUUGUCAGCUGGUGCCUCUUAAUCAGAACCACCUUGUGAGCAAAGUGUCUCAGCUGAUCCAUCGUUUACUUAACAGAUUACAGGUGAUUGUGGAUGAGCAGAACUUAGAUUUCCUGUUGACCUAUACGAUCUCAGCUAUUCAGCAGUGUAGCCCUUGGACACACAUGGAAAUUCUUCAAGCCCUGGCAGCUCUGGUUUACUGCAAUGGCUCAAAAUGUCAAAAGCAUCUCCCAGACUUGCUAGGUAAGAGCGGCCUCUUGAUGAAGUUGAGUGACGUGACUCACUCUGACCCUGAAGUCAGGAGAGCUGCAGUGCACUGCAUGGCAAACUUAUGUCUCAGUGUGCCAGGACAGCCAUACUUGGAGGAGUCCUACCAGCUUGUCUGCUUCCAAGCUUUCUUGACCAUUUUACAGUCUCCAAAAUCGUCUGAUAUGGAUGAUAUAACAUUUUGCAUGCUGUUACAGAAUGCACUGAAAGGCAUCCAGUCACUCCUCAAUGGUGGGAAGAUGAGGCUGACACAGACCGAGCACCUGGGAGCGCUUCUCGCUGUGCUAAAGAAAGCCAUGUUCCAUGGACUCCCUGGAUUAAACAUAGAGAUGCCCGCAGUGCUCUACCCAACUCCACUUCCGCAGUACGAUGGGCGAUCACCAGUUAAACCCCAGCAGCCGGAGUCCAGUGCUGCUCGACCAUCUGCGAAUAAAAAGAAAAAAUACAAAGUAAAACCAAAGAAAACCCAACAAGGAGAGAAAGCGGAGGAGGAGGAGCCCUAUGGUGAAGUGGACGCAGCCCCAGGGCUCAGCAUGGACCAGGCGAACACAUGUGUCGAGAGCGCUUGGUGCUCCUCCCCCUGGGGCUCCCAGGGUUUGCCUGUGGAUGGAGGCAGAGCUACCGGAAGAGAACAGGUUUCCUCACCCUUCACCAUCUCUAGCUGGAAAAGGGUCAGCAGCAGUGAGUCAGACUAUUCAGACGCAGAAGGAGGCAUGCAGGGUAAAAUGAGGUCAUACCAAGCCAAGGUUCGCCAAGGGGCACUAGCUUGUUUUCUCUCUACUAUCAAAUCGAUAGAAAAAAAAGUUCUAUACGGCUACUGGUCUGCCUUUGUUCCUGACACGCCAGAGCUUGGAAGCCCACAGUCUGUGUCCUUAAUGACACUCACAUUAAAGGAUCCAUCUCCAAAGACGAGAGCCUGUGCUCUUCAAGUUCUGUCUGCCAUCUUGGAAGGCUCAAAGCAGUUCCUUUCUGUUGCUGAAGACACCAGUGACCACAAACGAGCUUUCACGCCCUUCUCGGUCACGAUUGCGUCCAGCAUUAGAGAGUUGCACAGAUGUCUUUUGUUAGCUUUGGUAGCAGAGUCCUCGUCCCAGACCCUUACUCAGAUAAUUAAGUGCCUUGCGAAUCUAGUAUCAAACGCCCCCUACAACCGUCUGAAACUCAGCUUGCUAACCAAAGUCUGGAAUCACAUAAAGCCUUACAUCCGUCACAAAGAUGUUAACGUCAGAGUGUCAAGUCUCACACUCCUAGGAGCUGUAGUGUCCACUCACGCGCCUUUGCCAGAAGUCCAGCUGCUUCUUCAACAGCCCUGUUCCUCUGGGCGCAGCAGCAGCUCAGCAACCCCUCACCUCAGCACUCCUGAUGGCUGGAAGGCACUCCCUGCAGGACCCUCUCUGGAAGAAGCAUCACUCAGCUCACCAAAGGGGACAGCAGAGCCCUGCUGGCUGAUCAGACUCUGCAUUUCCACUGUGGUGCUGCCCAAGGAGGAUUCCUGCUCAGGUAGCGAUGCUGGCUCCGCCCUGGGAAGCACCUAUGAACCAUCCCCCAUGCGGCUGGAGGCGCUACAGGUUCUGGCCCACCUGGCAAGGGGCUAUUUCUCAAUGGCUCAGUUGUACUUGAUGGAGCUUGGCGAGGUGAUCUGUAAGUGCAUGUGCGAAGCAAAUCCAUCCAUUCAGCUCCACGGCGUGAAGCUCCUGGAAGAACUGGGUACAGGCUUGAUACAGCAGUACAAGCCAGAUUCCAGCACGGCCCCUGAACAGAGAGUGCCAGUCCACAUGGUGGCGAUGUUCUGGACUGCGAUGCUGAAUGGUCCUUUGCCCCGAGCCCUGCAGUCCACAGAGCACCCGACUCUCCAGGCGAGCGCCUGCGAUGCCCUGUCCUCCAUCUUGCCAGAGGCCUUCAGCAGUCUGCCGAAUGACAAGCAGAUUUUGUGCAUCACGAUGUUGCUCGGCCUGAAUGACAGCAAGAACCAUUUAGUGAAAGCCGCGACCUCCAGGGCCCUUGGAGUCUACGUGCUUUUCCCCUGCCUCAGACAGACACCGCAAAUGCCAUAUUGAUGUCCCUUCAAGAUAAGUCACUAAACGUGCGUGCCAAAGCAGCCUGGUCCCUGGGCAACCUGACAGAUACUCUGAUUGUCAACAUGUAAGUGACUCAGCCGCUUUCCCUGAGUGGCGUCUGUUUUAGAGCUCCUAAAGGUGUCUUCCAUCCCUACCAUGAAACAGUUGGCAAGAAUUUCCCCGUGUCAUACAGGCGGCCUUGCUGCCUUGUUUUACUAUUCCUCUAAGCAAUAAACCUAGUAGGUUUUUUAAUGUAUUAAGAAUACAUAUUACUCUAUUACAGUGUGUGUGUCUGUCUGUCUGUCUGUCUGUCUCUCUGUCUUCAAAACUGCCAUGUGCUGUCGUAAGUGUGGACAAUAUCACAGUAGAAGUCAAAAACCUUUGUAAAAGUUGCCCUGUUCUUAGGAUGCAGAGGUUUUCCUGGUUUUAUUUUAUUAAAUUCUUUUACAUAUAAUAUGUUUUAAUCAGAUUUUCUCCCAACCAACUCCUCUCAGAUCCCCCCACCUUUCUACCCAUCCAACUUCAUAUUUGACACCUCUCUCUCUCUCUCUUCUCCCUCUCCUUCUCCCUCUUCCCCCUCCCCCCUCUCUCCCCCUCUUCCCCCUCCCCCUUCUCUCCCUCCCAUCCCUUCCCUCUCCCCCUCCCCCCUCCCCCUCUCCCUCUUCCUCUUCUCUCUCCUCCUCUCUUUCUCCCUCUAUCCCUUCUUCCCUCCUCUCUCAAAAAACAGGAGCCUGCCCUGAAGCAUAGUUGAUAUACCCAGGAUACUCCAUUGGAGAAAGAAAAAAAUAGCUGUGUGUGUGUGUGUGUGUAUGUAUGUAUGUGUGUAUGUGUGUAAUAUAUUCACAAGUCAAAAGAUUUUGAACAGUACUAAGGAGUGUGCAAAUAGAAUCUGCCUCCUUUCCCAUAAUGCCCCAUUCCUGUCACUAGAGCUGGUCCCAACUUACUUUGUUACUUAGUUCUGCAUCAGAGGCCUGUGUAGCACACAGAGCCAUUCUCUGCACUGGGUGUUUAGUAAACAUUUGCCACACAGAGGCUGCCAAAGGGUGCAUCCUUCUCCAUCCCAUUCCUGAGUGCUUGUUUCAGGCCUUGGGCUUACGGGUGUCUACAGGCAGUGAAUACUUCCAGGUAUGAAAUGUCCAUUUUGACACCUAGGUGUGGUGGCAUGUGCCUGUAAUCCCAGCACUCAGGAGGCCGAGUCAGGAGGAUCACAAAUUCAAAGUCAACACAGGCUCCAUACCAAGUCCCAGGCCAGUCUAAGCUCUAUAAUGAGGCCCUGGCUCAAUACAAACAAAACAAGAAAGAUGCGUGAGUUCUUGGUGCAAUCUGAAAAGAUCUGACAACCUGUUUUCCUCAAGUUUUCACACCUCUAAAGGGGGCUCUACCUUUGUAUGCGCACAUUUAAGUGGUAUUUUCUUUUUAUCCCGCCUUGUGCCUUGGGUGGGACAGGGACACACCAGACCCAAGUUUCCAGGAUGAGUUCUCUGGACUCCUGCUCUUGAAAAUGUUGCAGUCUGCAAUACAGGCCUCCACGGACAAAGACAAGGUCAAAAGCAAUGCAGUCCGGGCCCUUGGGAAUUUGCUUCAUUUUCUGCAAC